AUCAAAAGAAGUAACCAACAUACUGAAAAAAGUUAAGUUUCCUUUACGUUCCCCUCCCUGACAACUUUUCCAAGUUCCUCCUAAUAUAAACUCAAAGAUGAAAUGUAACCCACCAAGUCUCUAUUGGCUCAAUAGUAAAAUAAUUACUCAUAAGAUUUUGGGUGUAAAAGAGGUUUUGAAAUUCAUUUUUGCCCAAGGCAGGGAUGUUAAAAUUACAGCUAAAACUAGCAAAAAAAAUUUUAUAAG
RNAcentral lists this long non-coding RNA (246 nucleotides) under Panax ginseng (ginseng). RNAcentral describes it as "long non-coding RNA (PGIN_LNC005869)". The record is from RNAcentral. Lineage: Eukaryota; Viridiplantae; Streptophyta; Magnoliopsida; Apiales; Araliaceae.